UCGCAUGAUGAAAUAAUUUGCGAUUGAGUGUCUUUGUUCGCGAUUCCACGCCUGGUUUCAUUAUGCGACGUUGAUGCAACUGAUAUCUUUCUUACAUAUUCUGACU
Tuber melanosporum (Perigord truffle) is the source of this 106-nucleotide small nucleolar RNA. It matches the Rfam family "A. fumigatus snoRNA Afu_514". The record is from Rfam. Lineage: Eukaryota; Fungi; Ascomycota; Pezizomycetes; Pezizales; Tuberaceae.